Molecule: ribosomal RNA, 34 nt
Filed under: Acyrthosiphon pisum (pea aphid)
Lineage: Eukaryota; Metazoa; Arthropoda; Insecta; Hemiptera; Aphididae
Also listed under: 6 other names
Description: partial 28S ribosomal RNA
Source: RNAcentral
CCGACCUCAGAUCAGGCGGGACUACCCGCCGGAU